GGCUCCACUGCCCAUUGGGUUUGCUGUGUUUAUUGUGCACCUCGCAACAAUCCCCAUUACUGGAACUGGAAUCAACCCAGCAAGGAGUUUCGGCGCUGCUGUGAUCUACAACAACGAUAAAAUCUGGGAUGACCACGUAAGAAUAAAAACUUCAUGCCGCUUUUGAGGUGUUUCUGAUGAUAUUUUGAGUUUUCAACUGAUUUGAGUUUUUAUUUUAUUCACUUUUUUUUUUUUUUUGUAGUGGAUCUUCUGGGUCGGACCAUUUGUGGGAGCACUGGCUGCGGCGGCGUACCACCAGUACAUUCUGAGGGCGGCGGCGCUCAAGGCGUUGGGAUCCUUCCGCAGCAACCCAACCAACUAAAACAAAGAUUGAAGAAAAGAAAGCUACAUUAAUGUUCUGUUGAUAUUUUGUUCUCUGUUUGUUAGUGUGUGUAUUGAGAGAGGAUGGAUGAUGAUCUUUCAAUCUUUCUGGGUUCUCUAUUUAUAAUCUAAUUACUUAACUUUAAUUAUGUUCAUUAAUUAUUGUUCAUGAGUAGUGGUGUUUUCUUUUUAUGAUUACAAUGUCUUCUCUCCUCUCUCUACCUCAAUCUACCUUUUUACGCUAUCUAUUUAGUGUUCCUCGCAAGUAAAUUAUUACUCAAAACUCCAUUUCAUAGUUAAAAAACACUUGCAAACUACCGAUUCAAAGGGAACAUAAACCCUCGUUUUGUUAGUAUGAGAAAUGCUAAAAAGAUUAUCUCAAGGUGAAAUUCUCUAUUAGUUCUAUCACUUUACAUAUUAAUAUCAAUUUUUGUUUGUCAUCUCGUUUGAUUGAUAUAAAAAUUAUCGUUAAAUUGUUGAGUGAGUUUUCAAAGUCUCAUUUUGAAAGAGAGACUUAGCAUUUUUCUUGUUAGGGUAUACAAACCCUCAUUUUGUUUUCUUAGUAUAAAAACACUAAAGAGUAAAUUAAAUUAAAGAGUAAAUUGUAGUCAUGAUUUUUUAAUUUUAACUUAAUUGGAGCAAUAGUCUCUCAACUAAAAAUUCAUUAUUUUUUUAACUCAUAAAACGUGCAGAUUACCAUUGAUCUUUCAAUUUUAAUUCAAUUGGAGAAAUUGUUUUUUAAUUUUAAAUCAAUUGUAGCAAUGGUCCUUUCAACAUAACUCGUUUUAACAAAAAAUUUGACAUAGUUGACAAAAAUGAUAAUAAUUACACACUUUGAUGAGUUGAGGACUCUAAUUAUAUAAAUGGGUAUUCUAACAUAACUUAUUUUGAUAAAAUUUUGACGAAAUUAAUGAAAAAAUAUUAUAGUUACACAUUUUAAUAAGUUGAGGGAUCAAUAAUAAUGGAUUUUUAGCUGAAGGGCUAUUGCUCUAAUUUGAUUAAGGUUGAGGGACUAUUGCUACAAUUUACUUAAACGUUAACAACACUUGAAACCCUAACCAGGCUUCUUUCUCUAAACGCUUAUUGUCGUUAUAGGGGGACUAAGAUACUUAAUUAAGUAAUCUAAUUAGGUCUUGGAAUCACUAAAAGUAGAAAAAGCAAGGACUUUGUUUACUUAAUGACAAAACCAAAUGGGUGCGCUGUCCCCACUAAGCCAAAAGUUUAGUCCAAAUUGCUCUCAUUAGGCAAGCCUAAAAAAUUGAGAAGACUAGCUUAGUAGCCCUCUAAUCUCUCUUUUAUAUCUCUACAAGGUUCCCCCUUUGUGAGCGUGGGAUUCUUGUGUUGCUGGCCUUGGAUUCCAGUGAGUUAGUGCCACGUGUCCCUUUCAGGAAAGGUGCCCCGAAACCGAAGGGUCUGCAGGGUUCCAGUUAGUGGGAAAUUUUUUAAUUGCGAUGGGAACAUGGAUGGUACACCACGUAUGUAAGUGGUAGAAAUUUUUAAUUUUUAAGUUAUUAAACUUUUAACAAACACAACUCACCAUUUAUAUAGGGAUACGUAUUGUAUCAUUUCAUGUGACGGGAACAUUGAAAAAUCUCGUUUGGUACUGAGGUGAUUCUGAAAAAAAUGGGUAUAAAAAAAGUUGGGAGUUUUUUUGUGUUUCGUAAAUAUUUAGCUUCGGCCUUUUUUUCACAGUUUUGGGUGAAAAAAGCCAAAACACAAAGCUGCAAAAUCCAACUUUGAAAAAUCGGCUUUUUCACAUCUGUUUUACAUAAAAAUGUAUCAAACACUAUAAUUUUUUUUCAAAGCACAGCAAUACCAAAUCAACUCUUAUUGAGGGGGCCGCUGCUCUACCCGGUGGUUUCUUUCAUUUUAGCUUUGUGCCUCUCUGGAAAAGUCUGACACGCAAGUGUUGGUCCCAAUUUUGGGAGCAGGGUCCAACCAGUAGGACUAAUCCAACGCAAAGUUGGAAAGCGAAAGCAGCAUGGGAUAAUUUUCCAGGGAAAGAGAUAUUCUUCGAAUAUUUUCCAUCAAAGUCAUUUGAUCAAGUAAUCUAAAUUUUUUAAAUUUCAUUCAACGGUAAAAAAUUAUUACAGUUUUUAAGAAGUUAAAAUAGAUGAGUCAUUAGAUGAAAUUUAAAAAAUUCGAAUCAUUUAAUUCAAUGAUCUUGACGAAAGAAAUACAGAGAAGAUCUCUUUUCAUUUUUCAGAACCACAGACUCCGGACUGGACUGAAUAGGACGAGACUAUUACGAGUGAUGCCGUAUGGGACUUGCAUGAGAAGCCAUGUCAUAAUCCGCUAUGUCUCAAAUCAAUUUGAGGUAUAUCAACUAAACAAUCUCUUAACAAAAUUCUUUUCCUCAAUCAAAAAGAUAUUGAAUAUAUCAAAUUAACCCUAUCAACAAAAUAAAAUAAAAUAAAUAAACAAAAUAAAAAUUAUGAACAGUAUAAUAAAUUAAGCACAAAAUAAUUUUACUGUUUUUCUUCACCAAGUUUGACAAUCAAGUACGCAUAUCAAUUGCUCCUACUUUCCCUUUAACAUUUCUCUUCCAAAUAAAAUACAUUUUAGUGACAAAAUAAUUAUUCAGAAACAAUCACUAAAGAUAUGAAUAACUUCUUUAGCACGAAAAAUUGUUUAAAGGUCAUCACCAAAAAGUUUUAGUGACCAUUUUAUGUUUUCUCUUAAUACUUAUUUUAAAAUUUUAAUAAGCACAUGCAUAGCAUAGCAUGUGUACAAUUGCUAGUAUUACUUAUGAGAAUUAAGAGAUAUUUUUUCUUUUUUUCUAGUUAAGAAUACAAAUGAAUGGGGCGCUUAGUAUUAUGGUGUAGUGGUAUUCCUCUUUAUUUGUAAGUAAGAAGUAUUAGGUUCGAAUUUCGCCAAAGGCGAAUUUGAACCAUAUUAUUCCUAGUCCAUUAUGAUGUUAAGCCCACCCCCUCUCUCCCUUAGUGAGAUAAUAUUGUUUGUUAAGAAAAAAAAAACGAAUGAAUGGUACAAAUUUUAAGAUAUCUAAUAUGACACACCCCGACCCGGGAUGUCCAUUAGGACUCCGAAUCGAGUUGUGCUGGCCGACACCUGGAAGGUGACGAAGCCAUAAAGUGUGAUAAUGUAUAAAAUGUGAAUAAAUUAAAACAUAAAAGUCUCUAAGUACACGAGUGCGCGGUGAGCGGAUCUGGACUCAUUUCACGCGUGAUACAGAGCAUAGGUAUAAUGCAGUAAGGUGAGACAAUGAUCAUACCAUCACAAGAAAACAUAUGUACCGAAAAGUGCCACGAAUCCUCGUAGAUACGGAACUCUGCUGCUAGAACCUAAAGGGGUACAAAAAUAGAAAAUGUGCAUGAGUGAAACAAAACUUUUCAAACCAAUUCCAACUACUAAAGGCAGUAGCCCUCACCAUAAUAUCUGUAUAAUUUCCCGGAAAAUAACAGGCGUGACUAUAAAUCAAUACCAUAACCAAAAUAAUAGUCUCACAAUUAUACCGUGUCAAAUAUCUCAAUAAGAACAAGUACUCAGGUGAAACAAAUCAAUAUGAAAUGACAUAUUAGCCGGAUCCACCUAUAGUGCCCUGUACAGUUGAAUUAAUAGCUCGUCAAUAUGCUAGCCAAAGUCACCUCACGUGACCUAUACGACUUAUCCAUAUCUCAUCAAUCAAGGCUAGCUUAUAAGUCGGAGUCACCUCUAGUGACCUGUAUGACUUAUUCAUAUCUCAUCCAUCACAUAUGCUAGCUCAUCACAUAUCUCAUCAUAUAUGCUAGCUCAUCACAUAUCUUAUCAAAUAUGCUAGCUUAUAAGUCGGAGUCACCUUUAGUGACCUGUACGAAUUAUCCAUAGCUCAAUAAGUAUACCUGCACACGAGUUGGAACCACCUAAAGUGGUUUGUACGACAAGAUUGGGUGUAAAUAAAUACGCUCAAAUGUUACGAUCAUGUGAAAACUGUGCGAAUAAUUACGGGUCACCUAUGAGUUGGAACCACCUAAAGUGGUAUGUACGACAGGACUGUGCACCUACCUUGGAUCCAAGGUGAGCGUAAGGUGCGGGAGGUGAACAUCACGUGAAGCACUGUGUCCUGGCCACGGACGGGAGCACUAACACCGGGGUGCAAGUUUAUGAGCUCUAACUGUAUCUAUUGUCACAUAUACGAUUCGUGGGCAACCUGUAUGAUAGUGUCGGAGUUGCCUAAACAUACAUGUAGUCAUACCAUAAUCCCCAUCAUUUCAACUAAUACUAUAAACUCACCUGAACUUACCUGGGUGUCCUGUGUUCACCUUUGCACUUCAAAGCGUUCAUAAUAAUUGUGUGCAGGUAAUAUACAUAUAGAUAACCCACGAUGAAAUCUGAUACUCAACCACGUUAUAACAUUUCCAAUUAUAUACAUACAUAUAUAUAUAUAUAUAUAUAUAUAUAUAUAUAAUGUGGCAUAAAAAUACAUAAACUAUAACGCCCUACUCUCGAAUUAUUUAUUUUCGAGAAUAAUUAUCGGUGACAAGCCCAACUAGACACUAGUUUGAUUAAUUAUCAUUACUUACGCUUCCUUACUUCAAAUUCUGUUGCAUGAAUGUAUACAUUCGUCUCUUUUACAACUUGAUGCCCUCACAAUUAAAUCUUAUGGCAUGUUUACAUAUAGGGAAAUGAUAUGGCGGAAUGGGAAUCAUACCCCAUUCCUGAUUAUUCCUCCGUUUACCAAAAAUGAACAGUUUUGCAGGCCUUUGAUUAUUUACACAUUGAUUUAUGACCAACAUUUAACCGCCAAAUUAUAAGAUUAAAUCUCAUAUUUUCUAUCAAUGUCUUUCACACUGCUUAAUUCCCUAUUCUGACCACGUCCAACAUGAAAUGAACUUACAAUCAUGAAAUUUGACUCGAGUCACUCGACCAUCAGAUUAUAGAUCAUAAUAUCAAUUGUUGUGUUACAUGACAAAAUGCUUAUUUCAUAUAACAAAUAAUUUUAUGUUUAGCAAUUCAUUAUUUCACCUUGGAUUAUUCAAUUCAAAAACAAACAAAAAAAAGUGCACAAGAGCAUCUCCAAAGGAAUGGUCAAAUUCAUAACAUCACAUUUAAAUUUCAUGGCUGACUUGACAAUUUGACAUAUUAUCAAUAUUUUCCUUCCACCCAAUAUGCCAAAAUUUAUUGCUUCAUUUAAUUUUUUUUUAAACAAAAAUAAUAAAAGUUGAGUUAUUGGUUUAAAAAUAAUCAAAUAAUACUUAAAUAUACUAGCAUUUAAGAUAAGACAAAUGAAAUGCCUUUGGAAAUAGCAAAAAAUCAAAUUUGACAUCUCUUUGUCCAUAUCAAGUUAGCCUUCUUUUCCAUGUGAUAUUUGACAUCUCGAUUGGAGUAAAUAGUACGUUAUUUGUUACCGUUAUAUGUCUUUGUGACAUUUUUUACAUCUCUUUUGGAGGAGAAAAGGAAAUUGCGAAUGCGAAACCAUUACUAGACGUAUAGUUCCACAUGGAUUUUACCCUUGAGGUGAACCCAAAAGAAGUCUUUCACAUGUCGUAGCUACAAUUCAACCACCCAAGAUCAAAUUUUGGUGGUUUCACAAUGCGACCGGGUGGUACCAAUUUCAUCUACCCUCUAUAUUGCUUUUGUUAAUUUCUUUUUCCUUAAAAACAAGCAAAAGAGAAAAAGAAAAGUAAAGGUAAAAGCCUUAUCCUUGUAAUCAAUCAAAGGGAAAACACGUCUGAGAGAAAAUAAUGAUAAUUUCCUUUUCACUUUCUCGGUGAAGGAAAGAAAAGGGCCAAUAAUCUGAGACGCCCAACAAAAUAAAAGCACUGCAGAAUCAUGAAAACAUGUAGCUAGAACAUGUGAGAGUUUAAGGGGUUCCAUCACAGAAAAUUCCUGGGUGUUCCAGAAUAUACGGUACUCCGGGUGUUUUAAUUGUUGAAUUUUGAUUUUUUUUGUAUUUUUGAACAAAAAUCUAACGGUUAAAACACAUAAAGUACCAAGUACUCCGGAGCACCCAAGAAAGUCCCGGUCCAUUAUAUUCACCUUAUGGAAAGGGUAGUGUUAUUUACUCCCUUUACCUCCCACACACACUCAUUAAGUUUUGUCCAUGGAUCGUUUUCAAUUCAUUCGAUCCAACAGCCAAAAAUUAAAAUAAAUGUGUGAGGUAAAAUAGAUGUGUAGAUAGUACCGUCCUUUGGAAAAUGCUAAUUAUUCAUGAAUUUUAAAGCCUUUUUAAACAGGACUCAAUAAAGAAAGUUUUAGUUACCCAUCACAUGGAACCAAUCUCCCUCAGGUCUCCAACUGAUAUGACUUGUUUAAUUCAAGCGCUUAAGAGUUAAGAUAAUGCUGAUAACAGCAAUUCCGUAUAUUCUAAAACUUUCCAUGGAACUGUCUAAAUUCCAACCACAAUCAGACGGACACGAAUUGACAGUCAACUCCAACUCCAAUGCAGAUGAGUAGAUAAGAAAAAUCUGUUUCCACAUGAAAACUUGGUAUGCCACUUCAACUAGAACAAAAUCUGAAUAUCACAAACCAUUUCACCUUUGUUCCAACAUGUAUUCUAUUAUUACAAUUCAUCGGCACUGAAGCUGCCGCAGCACUAAGCCGAGGGAAUCAUAAGUUCCUGUCAGCCAGUUGACUUUCACAAUUAGACAAACAUCAAAAGGCAGUGCAUUUUGCUACGUUUACCUUAGUCGGGCAAUGCAGUUCCGCGCUCAAGAUUGUUUUUGAUUUCCAACGUGUAUUUACCAAAGGCUCGCUCAAUCUUCUUGUUGAAAUGCUCAUUGCGGUCAUUGAUCGAGUCAAUAUCUUUCUCAUCGUGGAACCUCCUCCUCCUGCUGAAGGAAGCCUUCUUCUCUUCCCGAUCCUUGAGUUCCUUCACCAUCUUGUCAAGUUUAUCCUCUGAUAUCUUUGGAGCCUGCACCAUAAAAAAUAAAUUUUAGGGGUUUGAGUCCAAUUUCAGCCGGAGUACGAGGAACCAUCAGAUUUCCUCAAAAGAAAAAUACCUUCCCAUAUUGGAGGCUGGAAGCUUCACGAUAGAACUCCGGAUCAGCUUCUUUCAUCCUAUUGUAUUCUUCCAAGUCAAUAUCAAUGUUCUUUGUCCGCUUUUUGUAUGCAUUGUACAGAGUUUUCUGAUUGAAAACUGUUCAAACAACAUGUCAGCUCACAUUUUGGAUUUACAUAUCUAUAAAACUACAAGAGCAAAAUUGGAUAUCAAGUUCAUCUUUCUAUCUACAAUGUUUAGUCUUAAUGCACCACAACUGGGCAAUAGAGAAUUGUGAUGUGCGUGAAAGCGUGCAUAAAAGUGAACAGUUGACAAUACAAUAUGUACAUACCCCAAUUAGUAUUCAGUCAAGUUGCAUACCCGAAACUUUUGGAGGGGAAGUAUACAUACCCUAAUUAACUAGAGCAUAUGUAUAGCAUAGAAUCGAACAAAUAGUUAAUAAAUUUAGGCUUCUCUAGCUCUUGCUCUUGCUUAACCCUUGGUUGCGCAGGUAUUUCCUUUCCCCAUACACCCUAAAUAUUCUUAUCUAUUGCUCAUUAAUGUUAACCUAAGCCAUUCCAGGUUCCAUCAACAAACUUUCUCUAAAAUCCUAUGACAUCAAAAGCAGAUUGAACUUGAUAAAAUACACCUAGAAGUAUGUUUUGUAACAAAGGAACAUGAAGAGCACAUGUAUUAACAAGAAACUGAGGAGAAAAGCCAACAUUUUAACCAAAAAACAAAGAACAAUAAAUUACUGAGCAGAAAUUGUAGAGCAUACCAUCCCAGCCAGCUGGGGCAGGAUCCUUUUCCCAUUUCUUAUAUUUUUCCUCUGCCAUCUCUUGCGUAUCUAGCAUGUAUGCACUUUUCAUAUCCAAACCAUUGGCAUCUAGAAGUUUGCCAAUUCUUUUCUUCCUCUCUUCAACCCAUUUUUGUUUCGAAAUACCCCUGGAUUCUUGUCGGGGUUCCAGUCUUUUCUUUUCGGCCGUAAUCUCCGUUUGAUUUUGUUUCUUUGCCUCACCCUAUGUAAAGUUAGAGUUAAAUAAAUAGACGAAAGAAUGGAACAGCUUUCUAUUUAAAUAUCUGAUCAACUUUGCGACAAUGCCAUCUACUUUAUAAAGUUUCAGAAAACCUUACCAAUUUCUUCCUCAAUUCCGCCAAUUUUCUCUUUCUCCCUGUUAAGUUUUGGAAGUCUCCUUCCAUAUUCUCCUCGAGAGGAUGGGCAUCAUCAUCAUCAGCAUGUUCUUGAGGAUAGGCAUCGCCAUCAUCAGCAAGUUCUUCAGGAUCUGAUUGGAUUUGAGGCAUUCGAGCCUUGGCUUCGGCGAUAACUGUAAAGCAAUACUCGCUGCAUUCAUGGUAUGGAUUGGAUGCAUUUCUGCAAUCCGGGUGAACUCUUUGCUCAUCAGACAUAUUUUCCGCCUUUCGAACCUUCUAUAUCUUUGCAGCUACCUGAAAUCAAUACUCCACCAAUUAAACCUAGCUCCUGAAGUUCCUUUCUAGUACCCAACAAUCCCAAAAAUCCGGUGCUUUGUGCAAGACCGACAAACACAAAAUCAGAAAAUCGUAACCAUCACUAUGUUCGGCAGCCGAGAAAAUUGAAAAGGAUACAAGAACGAAUAAAUACUACAAGUUCUAGAAAACUAAGAUACAAUCAACAAAAAGUAAAAGGACUAGAUGGAAUUAAAAAAUUAAGCUUACUAAUUUACUUAAUUCGAAAAGAAAAAAAAAACGAAAAAAUUUGAACAAUUUUAAUGUCAUUGUUUUAUUUUGCUUAAACAUUCAUCGGAUUAUCGGCAACCAAACCAAAUCUGACUCAACCCAACAACAUACAGAACAAUGGAAAAUCGAAUCUGAAAGAAAUUGCGAAGAUAAAGGGACGAACCUGCGCGACGAAUUGAUUCGAUUGGCGAGCUCACUGCUUCUAGGUUUAGGUUUUGAUUGGGGAAAGAGGAUGAAGAACAAAGGGCUUAGGACUAACGCGCGAAUUGGACGAAUGCGAUUCGAAGAAAAAGAAAACUCCUUUUUGCUUUUUUAUAUAUUUGGACGGCGGUGCGGUUGUUUUUAUGAGUGGCCCAACAAGAAGAAAAUAGAAAGGCUGUGAUAACUAGCCCAAUCGGCCCAUACUCCAGCAGCAUGAGAAAUUUUUAGGUACGGCUGCUCGUGCCACGCCACACGUCUAAAAUGGGAAAUUCUGUCAUCCGAUAAUUGGACCACGUGUUCGUGCGGACCCAGACAAAAUAACCUAACCACCCCCUAAUUUGUCCUACUCCCUCUAACAAUCUCUAAUCCGGCAUUCGUGGAGAAGGUCUUCUCCUUUAAGACACACAAGGAGGCUACGCAUUUUGAUCGACCAAAAUGGGUCAAUUCGGAAUCUGAAUGUAGGAAUUCCUCUUUGUGUAUGUCAGCAAUUGACAUAAAAUGAGUGUUUGCGUGUAAGAAUCUUUCCAUCGGCGCACAAAUUUUCUACCAAAAUUUCAAUUCAACGCCCUAAAAUCAAAUCUCACCUAUAAUAAAUUUGACAAUAUUGCUACAAGUAUGAUCUGAUCAGAUUUCUCCCCCAAAAUUUCAUCAAACCCCCCUCCAACGGCCUAAAAUCCCACGGGAUGAAAGUGCUACAAGUAUGGUCUUCGGUUGACAAAAUAUGACACAAACAAGAACCCUACGAGUUUAUAGGGCAUUAUGCUAACAACGGCUCCUUUCUAUAUGUACAGCUAUUUAAAGCGGUUGAAGUGGUUGAGACCAUUUAACUCUCAUCGGAAAUCCUGUAUUCGUUUAUCUCUCCUCCCAAUAUUAUCCACAUAAAAAGAUAGGUGAAGUUUAAGACCCUCUCUAAAUAAUAAGUCAAAUUUUAAAAAUAAAAAUUUAUUUUAAAGGCUUAUAUGGCACUUUGACUUUAAAAAAAAAAAUUAUUUUCCACUCGAUAUGUUUAAACAUAAACUAUUAUUUAUUACAUUAUUUAUUUUUCAUAAUUGUAAUAAGUAUUUUUAAAAUAAAAAAUCACAAUACAAAUAAUGAAAGCACAUUAAUUACUAAAAAUAGAUUUGAAAUUGCUGUCAAAUUUUACACCAACAACCUUUGUUGUCAAUCCACAUCAUGCCACAUAGGAUUGACAUUUCGGUUGAAAAACACUAAUGAUGUCUUCUUUUACUGUUAUUGCUAUUGCUGAUGUGGAAUGUUUGACUCCUUUGGAGAUGUUCUAAUCAAUACGAUAUAAACGGUAAACAUCAUGCACAGGAACAACAACUACGUAAACUUUAAAAUCAUUUAUUUUUCAACUACUUUCUUCUAGCUUUCUUGUGUUCAUAUAUAUGAAGCAGAAAAAAUAAAAAAAUAUAAAAAAAUAUAAAAGUGACAUGAUUCUCAAAUCACUAAGUCAGUAGGGUUCUACAAUCCCAGAAUCCUCAAAUAAUUUUUAGUAUAAGUACCAGAUAGCGAAACCGACACGAUACAUCCUACAUUUACUUCAUAGCUACAAAUAUAGAAGGGAUGUACCAGACUAUAGUUUCAACCUUCAGAACAUUUUAUAUAUGACCUACAUAUUACAGGUCUUACAGUGUUUGCAGUUGCUUGCUUCACAAGACUUUGUCCAACAACGGUUUACUAGGAAGAUUUUCGACCUUGGACUUCAUGUUACUAACACUGUCGCUCAAGACGGAAGAUUUAAGCUCGAGCUCCCGCAGGUGGGCUUUCAUUUCAGCAACUUGCUUCUUGGCAUUGGCAACCUCCUUUUCUUUCAGAACCAGAGCCUCAAUUUGCGGUUCAAGUUCUUUCCUUGUGGAUUCUAAAUCACGGUCGCAGUUUUCCUUUGCUACUUCGAAUGCUCGAUGCUGAGUGACGAGUUCAAUGGAUUCUUCAUAUUUGUUGAUCAGACAGCGGAGCCAACCAACAUCCAUUCCCGAAGAUUCUACAUCCUUAAGCAUAGAUAACAUUUGUUUGACUCUAGGCUUUGUCAGCUCCUUAAUCGAAGUUCGCUUCAACUCUUGGACUAUAUAACAUACACACUCGAGAUAAUAAGAGCGCAUGGCAACUGAUUCCAAUUGACAGCUUGCGGCUAUAUCACCAUAUUUUUCCAUGAUUGACUGGAGAAUGGAAGAGAAACUUCCUUUCACACGGUAUUUUCCCACAGAGACACUGGCAUCAGAAAUAACAGAUCGUGUAUCGUCAUCAUCACUAUCUUCAAAAGCAUGGACAGUACCUGAGAAACUAAAUCUUGAGUCGAAAGCUGAUCCAGUAGAGCCUUCUCCUACAUUGCUGACGGUAUGAUUUGAAUCAACUCCAGGUGAAUGAUUAAUAUUUUCCUUGUCUUCCCCAUUACUGGGUGGUUCACUAGCGAUGUAAGUAGCACCAUUCUCUCGAGGGUGUUUGGGAUUUUCAGGCUGUCAGAGGGAGAGAUAGCAUAAGAAAGGAGUCAAAGCGAUACACAAAAAAGAGAAAAAAAAACACAGAAUUAGUAAAGAAAUUGUGUGAGAGAGGGGGUGGAGAAAGAGCACACCAUUGUGAUAAUUCCAGAUGGUGGCACUAACAGAGAAGACGGAACUGGAUCCUUGUUGAAUGAAGCAUCUUUUACUUCAGCAGACGGUGGAGAAUAAGAUUUAUGCUCACCAUUCCCUAUUUUAACCUCUUCCUUAAUUUCACCGGAUGCAUUGUCAAGCUCUUCAGGGCGCAUUGGUCUGGAACCAGGCCUUUGUCUGCCAAAUAUAGGAUCAUCAAGCACGGAGCCUGCAAUUAAAGCGGACCAGAUGUUAUGAAAUAAUAGCAUGAAUACGUCACCAUCCAUGUGUACGUGUACAUGGGAGGUGGAAGAGGACUGAAUAAAUAAAUCCAUAAUCUCAGGUAGAAGAAGAUUUAUGCUCACCAUUUUCUACUUGCACUAUUUCUUCAGAUCGAGAAUCAGAGGGAUAAAUUACACCUCGACCAGUUGCAUUCUUAAGCUCUUCAGAGGGCUUUGGCUGAGUUCCCUGCUUCCUUCUGCCGAAUAUAGGAUCAUCAAGGACAGAGCCUGCAGUUAAAACGCACCAUAAAUUAGGAAAAAGAAGUGUGAUUACAUCUGCACCCAUGGGCAGGGGAAAGAGGAUAUGAAUAAACACAUUCACUAUCGGUCAGGUGAAGGGAGAUUUACGCUUACCGUUCUCUAAUUUCACAUUUUCCUUAGAUGGAGAUGACUGAGCAUCUAAAUGAUAAAUCACACUUCGGACAACCUCCUGAGGGGUCCUUGGUCGGGAUCCCUCCCUUUGUUUGCCCAAUAUAGGAAUAUCAACUAUUGAACCUGCCAUUCAAACAGACCAUUAAAAAGGUGAACCGGGAUUACAGUCCAUGAGUAUCAUGUGCAUGGCCAGUGCAAGGGGAAUGAAUAAAUUCACAUUCCGGUUAUCCGCUGCACAACCACAAAAGAGCUUCUCUUGCCCAGGAUCUCAUGGAAACUCAAAUGAAACAUUUGUAUUCCAGUGCAGAACCUCGGGCAUUCUUAAGGCAACCGUGAAAGCAAAUUAUGCUUAUAGCAUUGCGGAUUGGCUAUGAAUUGAUGGCAUUCCUAGGACAGGGGAAUGAAGUGCUGUCGGUUUUCCGUACCAUUAAGAAUGAAGUGCAGAACCUCGAGCAUCUAAUUGUUGUCAAAUGGAAAACAUUGGUUUGACAGAUGGAAUCAUUUGCAGCUUGCUACUCUAUCUAGCUUUUCUAUUGUUGCAGUUCAGAAAAGGGAAAAUGUACAUAUAACUUAACACGGUCUAUUGAGAAGUCACCACACGAAAGCAGGGAAAAACCUGAUUCUUUUUUGCCCCCACGAGGUUCGGCACCAACGGCUCUUUGGCGGAAGAAUUCAGGGUCAUGGUAAGGAUUGGAUGCUCUUUUCUCUUCAGCCCCCCUUUUUUUGUACUCACCACCUUUAAAACUGCUGCCAAUAUCUUUGGAAAAGAAACAAAAUGAGAAAAAAAUCUAAAAUUUCCAACUUGUACUCAGAAAAUGCUCAAAAGAAAAGAUCCUUGAAGAAGAAACUUCUCAGAACCAUUAAUCCAAGGCAAGAAAACAAUCUCGAACCAAUAAUUCACUACACCUCGUAAGGCCAUGCUAUUUUCUAAUCAAUCAAGACAGUAAGACACAUCUUCACGGAUAGAUUUUGAAAGAGAGCCGCAAGCAAUUCAAAUUUAAUAGAAUUAUAUGACUGAACAAUUGCCAAUCACUUAACACAAAACACAGACCAGAUAAUCCAAGCGGUAAAGAUAUGAGCAAUAAGCAAUAACAUGAAAUGCGUGCGAAAACACGGGCGUUCACAUUUGGCAACAAACCAGUCAGAAUUCAUAUUGAAAACAAAUGCUUUGAUUUUUUAAAGUACGAAAGCAUUUUUUAAUUGCGGUUAAAUAAAAGUAAAACUAAAGUGCUCAAAUAAUUCCUGAACCAGAUUAGCAAUCAGUUUGGUGAUGUUUUUUGGGCAGGGGACUAAGAGAAUACAUGUUGUUUAAGAACAGAACAAUAACACAAACCUGAUUUCUUUUUCGUAACCUUUCGGCCUUUCCCUUCAGCAAUCUUUCUCAGGCAAAUUUCAGUGCAUUCAUGGUAGGGAUUGACUACAUUAACACAUUCGGGGUGUAUUUUUCCGAUCAGAGACAUCUCUCUAUUGAGAUCACCUACAACCCUGCAAAUCAUAACUCCAUUAAACAAUUUUGAAUUUUUAAUAACCAGAGACAUAGAAGGUUCUGAAAUUUAUUUUUUUUCAAAUUAACAAACUUUCCUCAAGAACUUGGGAAUAAUCAGCUGAGCAUAAAACUGAUAUCCAAUAAUUCAAACCAAUAAAAAAAGUUUUUUUUUUUUUUUAAUAAAACCAUGAAAAUGAACUCUCAGAAACUCUUGCAACUUCAAUAAAUUUUCAUUUGGUUGAUGAUAAAACAUAGAAAAAGAAAACUAAAAAGUUGAACCUUUCACAAUCCGGCAAAUAGCAAAUAAAGCAAACAAGAAUAUCAACGUGCACCAUGCAAUUCAGUUCAAUUCAAUUCAACCAGUUAGCUAAGCUGCAAUGGUAAUCUUUUCACAUGAUAAGAAAACCCAAAAACUGAAAUCACAGCAGAAACUCAAUCCCACUGGACUUUCCCACCUUUUCUCAGCAACCAAACAGAGUAAGAAAAGCAGUCUUCAAAAAACAAGAACAUGCACACAUUAUUUCCCAAACUUUCUCAUCACCAACCAUAACAUCAUUCAUAAGCAUAAAAAUUUCAACCUUUUUAACAGACUCCCAUGAACACAAACAUCAAAAAACCACCAAAACCAACAAAAACAACAAACAAAAUUUUAAGGGCCAGAUUGAGAGAAAAGACCUUGAAUUCAAUUGGGUUUUCUGGGUUUUCUGCUUUUGACCCUCUGGCGAUUCAACAAGAUAAAAGGAGGCGAUUUAUGUGUGAAGCGCAGAAAAAAGGACUAAAGUUGGGGGAAGAGCUCUCUUGUUUUGACCAUGGCGACGACUAAUAAGCUUUUUUUUUUCUUGAAAGCAAAAAAAAAAAUAAAUAGUCGAAAAAAAUUCACAGCUCUCCCAAUGUCAAAACGUUUGGGUUUUCCACGUUGAUUAGUAGGCAGUCGUCACGAGACAAAUGCAUGUGCCACCUUUUCUUUCACAAAGGCACUUUUGGUGACGAUCUGGCUGACGAUCUUGUGGAUCCUAUUACUAUAAUUAAUUAAUUAUAGCCCACCAUUUUUGUUGAGGAAAAUGAGGAUUUUAGAUUUAGGUUUAUGUAAAGGGUUGUGACAUCUACAUAUAUUUUUUAUUUGUCACACAUUUUUUUAAUUUUCAACCGUCAGAUCAGAUAAAUUGAAAAAUAUUAAACGAUAGAAAUUAAUAAGGAAUGUGUAAGAAGUAAGGGUAUGCUUAUGUAAAAUCAAUGACCAAAAUAGGGGCCUUAAAAGGAUUUUCCUUUUUAAGCCUUGGUAGGCAAUGCUUUUUAUUUAUAUUUACAUUUUAGGCAAUUUUCUAAAUAACUAAAAAUUAAAUUUUAAUCGCCAAACGAAUAAGACACUCACUCGUCAUAUCACAUUAAUAGACACAUGUACAUAGUUGUAAACCCGCAUUUUUCUUAGGUCGAAUAGUUCAGCACUUAGAUGUUGUAAAAUUAUUAAAACAAUCAAUUAUCCUUAUUUCUUUGGAAAUACUUUUGUAAUGUAUCAAUAUAAUUUUAUAAGUUAUACAUCCACAUCGUAUAUACAAAUUUUUGUAUUACAAUUUUUUAAUUUUGUUUUGGAACUUUUUCAAUUGACCAAAGUGUUUAAAAUGUAUAUAUGUGCAACACAUAAUGAGUUUGAUAAAAUUUAUAAUGAUAAGAGGCAAUACGUACAAACUGAAUUUGGGUCAUAAAAUUUUAAUUUGAGUAAGCUGUAUUUGUUUCCAUCCCUAAUAAUUCAGGUAAAGUUUGUGUAGAGUCCCAUUAGAUUUAUUUUAUUUUAUUUUAUUAAGAUACUAUUAGAUUUUGGUUCUCUAAUUCAAAUACCAAAAUGACACUCCAAAAGAAAAAUUCAAAGACAAUUAAAUAUUUCAAGUACGGUAUUUUUUAUUUUUUUAUUUUUUUUGUAUUUGUAUAUUUUGGCAUACUUGUCAGGUUCUCAUGUUUCACAUCACAUGUGCAACUUUGUUCUAGAUAUUUUGGUCAAUAUAGAAGUUUUGUUAUUGACCAACUGUUUAAAACAUGUAUACGCUUGUAUUAUAUUUUUUUUUCAUUUUUUAAUGUUCGAUGACUUCGUUUCUUAAAAAAAGUCGUGCAGUGGAAAUUUUAAAAUUGAGUCUUUCUACAACAAAAAAUUCUCCUAAACGCAGGUAGAAGUGGUUUCAAGUUAUCUUAAGUUUUUCAUUAAUAAAAAACGAAUACGCCUAGAAGCAUCGGCUUAGAUCAUAUCAAUUCGAUUUGACGGAGUCAUCAACAUCAACGCACAUUAACAUAAGACCCUGUAUUUUAUUUUCAGACCUUUUACGUAAAGGGAUCUUAUUUUAUGGUAAAGUUGGAGAAUAGUUGUGGGCUCAAUUUACAUCGAAUUUCAAUAAUUUGAACCGUUUAAUUUUUAAGUUGUAUUUUAUAGAUUAUUCUUGCAAAAUAUUAAUCAAAUAAAAAAUGCUUGAAACAUCUAAUUGAGUUUAAAGAGAUUGACGAACACUAUAAUUUAAGAAACAUUGGAAUUUUACCGUGAUAAUCAAAUGAGUAAAUGAUUUCAGAUUGAAUUGAUUUUUUGUAAAGUUGAUCCAUGCAUGAAGAUUUAAAAAAAAAGAAAAUUCAGAUCGUUAAAUUUUGAUGUACAAUGAACCCUGCAACUAGUCCCUUUUUUUUAUCGAAAAAAUGGAAAUCCCUUUAUAACCCUGUCAUUCUAAAAUUGAUAUAAGGUCAAGUUGCGUAGGUCGUCCUCUGGUCAUUGGAAUUCAAUUUCGUUUAAUUACGACAUAAAUUAGAAUACACAAACUAGUUCUAGAAGCUCAAUUUAGUUGGUUGUAUUUUGUACACAAUACACCUCGCCUCUAGAAGCUCAAUUUUGUCAACGUUGUUCUACAUCAUCUAAUCUACCUCUCGCUCAAUUAAUUUGCAGUAAAGUCAUCAUUUUACCAACCCUUUUUUCUUAGCUCCACAGAAAUGGUAGGAAUAUGUGGUUAAUUAUAAAAACUUCUAACUUAUUUUUCUUGCAUUUUAAUGUCGAGAAGUAGAAUAUUGGACCGCUAUACUUAGGUGAGGAAAUAAAUAAUAAGGUCCCAAUUGAUUUUGCCAACACUGUUACAUGAUCGCGCCUCUGCCAAUAAACAGAAGAACAGAAAAUUAAUGUCACGGUCAAUAAUUCAGAGAGUUCAGUUUCUCCCCGGAACAUCUCCAAUUUAAGGAUUCAAAUCUUAUAUUUGAGUUCAAAUACAAAAUAAAACAUCUCUAAUGCACGUGAGACUUAAAACUCAAAGACAAAGUAAGACCCAUAUUUGGGUUUCAGUAUGAGAUUUGAGUUCAAGGUGGGGUCUAUGUCAACUAAAAAAAAAAAAUUAUGUUAGGGAGAUUAAAUUUGUAGACUAAAUUUGCAAACUAAAUGAUGUGUUACCAAUAAGAAAUGAACAUGUUUAUCAACGUUUAAGUAAUAAUCUAAUCAUCAACUUUCAUGUUAUUUAGUUUAUAAAAUUUAAUCUAUCUAGCAUUACUAAAAAAAAUGUUAUUCAACCAAGAAAAAUGAUAUUUGAGUUGUCCAAUGUACAUAACCAAAAUAUUAAACCUCAAAAAUGAAUUUUGAGUCUUUGUUUUCUUUUUCAAACUCGAAUCUUAAGACUCUAAAUGAGCCCUAUUAAAUCGUCUCAACAAACUAUGUGCCUUGAAUUCCUUUAUUACUUUCUUGUUUUGCUUUUCAGUGCCACGAAGAGGCUUGAGUGAAAGAGGAUUGUGGUUUACCACUGUUGGAUAUGAUGUCAACCGACAGAGUAUGUGUUAGCGUGAGUUCAAAGUAUCAUUAAGAGAUUGCUAAUACUAACAACCGACACUCAGGCUAUCAUUAAGAGCUUGCUAAUACUAACAACCGACAGGGUAUGUGUGCCACUGUUGGGUAUGCUGUUCAAUUUUUACUUCACGUACAUAAUGUAAGGUACACAAACUAUUUUAUCUCACACACAUUCUAACAUAUUGUUAAACAAUUAAAAUAGUACGUAAGAGGUAAAAUGGAUUGUGUAAAAAUCAUCAUCCAGGUCGAUUGAAGAUACAAAAACGAAUUUCUAUUCACUUUGGGAAAAAAAAAUCCACUUAAAGAGUAAGUAGUUAAAGUAUCAAUAAGAGCUUGCUAAUACUAACAAAACUAGUGACAUCCUAGUGUGAUUUCAACAUACAUCUAUAUCCCAUGAAAUGAAGGGCAUGUACCAUGCAUAAUUAUAUGGUUAUCAAAUUAAUGAUGCAGUAUACCUUUUAAGUAACUUUCGUUUAAUUUUUUUAAUAAUCUAUAUGUGAUGGGCUGUUAGCCGGAUAUUUCAUCUAAACGGGUGACAAGUCACGAGCCCUAAUCUUACACCAGAUGGCACUUCCUUGUGAUAUUGCUUGUUUCUGUUUUCAGUUGAAACUUCCAAGUAAAAGUAGUUGAAACACGAAACAAUAUGCUGAAACCAAACGAAUAAAAGACUAGGUGAGGUAGUUAGGGUUCUAAACGCCAAAUCAGGUCAUGCGAUUUGCCUUUCCCAUCAUUUCCAACUCAAAUAUAAUAUUUUUAGAUAUUUUCUUCUUUUCCUAUCUAAAAUAUCUCACUACGUCAUUUUAUUAUAAAAGAACUCGUUUGAGACUUCUUUUGAAAGAUUAAAAUGCUUAUAAAAAGGGAUAAAAAAAAUUCACAAAAAAAGUUUUAAAAUAUUUCUAAAUUAUAAUUAAACAAUUUUUAAUGCUUUGUGAAUAAUAAGCACCUUCAAGUAAAUUUCUAGAAAACGCUUAAAUUUUCUGUAAAAUCACUUAUAUACAUCUUUCCAAGCGACUCCAAUAUUAGGUAAAUUAGAAUUUUUAAAGAAAUUAGUUAUUUUACUACAUUUUGAAACAAAUGAUACUUGUGUGUGUGUGUGUGUGUGUGUGUAUUAGUACCGAUUGAUCAUGAUCAUUUAUAUAAAAUGAACUCACUUGUAUCAUAAUACGGUUUUAUUUAUGCAAUUGAGAAAUGUGGUCUCUGUAGCAUUGUUGAAUUAAAAUAUAUAUUUUCUUGAUUGGCAAUAAGGAAAUAAAAACAAUUUUCUCUCCUUCAUGCAUGGGCUGCAGUUCACCAACCAAGGUAGCUAGCCAAGCCCUAAACACGUAUAUAUAAAAAGAAACAUUUGUGAGAUGGGGAGGGUUCAACUGUUUUUGAAUUCUUGGUUCUCUCUCACUGGAACGCAAAUAGAAUAUAUAUUGACAAUUUUGUUUCUUCUCAGCUUGUUGAUAUGGAUAUCUUUCUGGGAUACUGAGGUGGAUGCUGUACUGUCUGAGCUUAAUUUUUGUAUGACGAGUGUGAGAAGUUGUUAACGAUUGCUAUCGAGUAGUAAAUUUUGCAUGGACCCUUCUAGCUACCUUUUUACCUUUUCUGAUUAAUAUAUUUUCUUUCCUGUUUGUUCUUUUAGUAAUUUUCUUCCUUUUCCCAGUGAAAACAGUCGGCCGCUGCAAUAGUCUUGGAAGCAAGAAGCACUAAUUGUCAUCUGACAGGUAGGGUUUGCAUGUUCUUCUGUUGGGUGCUUGUUAGUGGGCUAAACUUGUUGCAUAAUAAUAAACGAAAAAGUUUGGAGCAUUGUGAAGAAUUCCCAAAUUAUGACAAAUUUUAGCUCGUUCUGCAAAAUUAAUUCCCUGUUUGAACAAUUUGAAAUUAAUUCCAUGUUUCGAUUAUUGGCUAACGGAAGACUUGAUGCAAAACCAAGCGCAAUGACAUUACAUAAUUCAUACAGUUGACCACACUUAGUAGCAUAAAUUUUUGUUGUUGUUGCUGUUGUUUCGAUUAUUGGCUUUCCACAGUUAAUCAUAUUAUUUUGCAGGUGGCAUGAAAAUCAUUAUGCAAAAUCUGAUUGAUAGGCUUAGACCCCUUGUGGGUUUGAAAGGCUGGGAUUAUUGUGUUCUAUGGAAAUUGAGUGAAGACCAAAGGUUAAUUUAGAGAGGAACUACUUAUUGUUCUGUUGCUAAUUGAAAUUAACUAAAUAUUACCCUCCUUAUCUCUUCUUUGUGUGACAAAUUUAAAGAUUUUUUAUAUUUUUAUUAGGUUUAUUGAAUGGAUGGACUGUUGUUGUUCUGGGACUGAUGGAAACACUCAGACAAAUGGAGGACAAGAGCUUCUUUUUCCAGUUUAUCCUGUCCUUCCAUGCCGGGAUAUAAUGCACCACUCACGAACUAAUUCUUGUGAUCUUCUUGCCCAGCUUCCUUCUUCCCUGCCCUUAGAAUCUGGGUACCUAUAAAUAUUAUUUAGCUUUCAUUUUUUGUAUUUUUUUAAUCAUUCAAUUAUAAUUAGUACUAAAAGUAAAAACUAAAUUGUGUUUGCACAGGAUUUAUGCACAGGCAUUAAUUUCAAACCAGAUCAUUUGGUUGAACUCUACCAAUAGAGAUUUAAGUCAUAUGGUAUAGUCGUUGUCCAAUUCUUUUAGAUAUUUUUAAGAAAAAAAAAAAUACCCUCUUUGUUGAGCAUAUAAUUAAAUGUAACUCUAUACUCAUCAUCACUUAUUUUGCAGGAAAGAGAUGAGACCAGGGUUUUGGUUCCAAGUGGUGGAGGGCUGAUUGAGCUGUUUGUCUCUAGAGAUGUAUGAUAUAUAUGAUGCUUCACUUUUAAACAGCUUCCUUUCAAUUUGUUAUUUUAGAUCUUUCAUGUGGAGAAAUUCUUACAUACGCACAUGCAUAUGUGCCACCUCUCACACAAAAGUUGAGCCUGAGCUAGACCCAAAUACAAAGGCUCACCCUUUGUAUGAGAGUUGCCGCAUGCAAACGUCUAUAUGCUAGUAGUUCUCGUGUACAUGAUAUGAACCAACUAUUUGAAACAUUUGUGUCCUACAUAAAUUUUGUGAGAGAUGGGGUAUGUAAGGGUCACAAUUUAUAGUUUUGCCUGCAACUAACAAAUUCACACAUUACAAUUUUUAAGUAUUUGCAUUUUUUUCCACUUUGACAGGUCUCUGAAGACCAACAAGUGAUUGACUUUAUCACUGCCCAAUGCAACAUUUCACAUGAGCAAGAUAUCCUGCUUAGUGCAAGCUGCAAUACAAGCUUCACCGUGGAUAUAAACAACAUGAGCAAUGACAUACGACCAAAGGCAUUUCUUGUAGAUGAUAAUGGGGGAAAUGAUCAUCUAAACAACAAUCAUAGUUUCCAGCAGCAACCUGUUUUUCCGGCAAUGGCAUUGGAUCACAAUUCGAAUUUGCCAUGCGAUAUCUCAGUUGACCAAAUCCGCCUAUGCAGCACUUCCCCAAUGAAUUUCCUCCAAAAUAGUAACAAUAAUAAUGUCUAUAAUUUUGAUCAGGGUUCACAUGAGUCUUUGGGAGAGAUGGGGCUUCAAGCUGAUACUAAUGCACAAAACUUGCAUAAUAAUAUUCAAGUUAAUGAGGGAAUAGAAAACAUUGAGCAGCAGGUUGUGGAUGAUCAAGACUCAAUUAAACACGAGGGUGGAAGAACUGCUGAUCAUUCAGCUUCAGAUUGCAGUGAUCAGUUUGAUGAUGAUGGUGGCACGAAUUAUAGGAGAAGAACAGGAAAAAAGCCUCAGUCAAAAAACCUUGUGGCGGAGAGGAAGAGAAGGAAGAAACUUAAUGAGAGGCUCUAUCACCUCCGCUCAUUGGUUCCCAACAUUUCUAAGGUGAUGACCAUGGCAUUAUUAUUAUUUUUUCAAUUGUACUAGAUGGACUUUACACUUUCCUAUGUGUUAGUUGAUAAUUAAUUAACAGUUGACAGUAGUAACUAGUGUGACAAGUAUGUUGUCACAUCAUGUGGUCGGGCUAAUGUUAUAUAAAAUACGUGACAUCUUUAGCAGAAUCUAAUGCCUACUCAUUUUGAUUCACAGAUGGACAAGGCUUCCAUACUCGGGGACGCGAUUGAGUUCGUGAAGGAGUUGCAGAGGCAAGAAAAAGAACUCCAAGAGGAGCUUGAACAGCAUUCAGAUGAUGGAGGAUCUAAGAAAAGGAAUUCCAAUAAUAUCUGUGGAAACCACACCAAUUUCCAGCCAGAAACUCUGAGUCAAAACGGAAAUACCACUGCAAAUAAACAAGAAAAUGAUGAGCUUCCAAAUGGGUUUCGUGUGGGAACAGCAGGAGACAUUGGCAAUAUCUCUAAACAAAAAAACCAAGACUCAGAUAUUACUAAGGACAGGGGACAAGAGAUGGAGGUAUAACUUAAUCUUAUAUAUGUUUUUUAAAUUUGAAAUUUCAGAUAACAAAAAGAUUAAUGGAAUAAUAUGGUUGCAGCCACAAGUAGGGGUUACUCAGUUGGAUGGAAAUGAAUUCUUUGUGACUGUAUUCUGUGAGCACAAGCCAGGAGGGUUUGUGAGAUUGAUGGAGGCAUUGGAUUCUUUAGGCUUGGAAGUGACCAAUGCAAAUGUGACUAGCUUCAGAAGCCUUGUCUCUAACGUCUUCAAAGUAGAGGUAACCAAUUAUCUCUUACUUAAUUAUGUAGCUCAUGACAACUGUUAAUGUUAAUGUUAGUGACAAAUAUUUCAAGAAUCUUACUAUAAAAGACAAAAUUCCUCAUUUAUCAACUAAGUGUCAGAUACACUAAUUGACGGGUCUAAGAACAGUAGGAUCAAUGAGUUUUUUCUUUCUUUCUUUUUCUUCAAACCGGUGCUUUGAGUGUUUUUGACAUAACCAAGAGUUUUUAUUCGUGAAAAGCACUUAAUUUUUUAUUAUAUGUUAAUUACGCAGAAAAAGGACACUGAAAUAGUUCAAGCUGAUCAUGUGAGGGACUCCUUGCUGGAGAUAACAAGGAAUCCAUCAUCAAAAGGGUGGCCUGAGAUGAUUGCUAAAGCAUCAGGGAAUGUCAGUCCAUUGGAUCAUUUUCAGCAUGAUCAUCACCAACAACACCAUCUCCACGAUUACCAUGCUUCUUCAUACCACCUACAACACCUUUAUAGUUAAUUUAGCAUAAUCUACUAAUUAAUUAUGUAUUAAGCAUUCUGAUGAGAACAACUAGCGAGACAGAUUAUGGACAUGCUCGACAUGCGUUAUGCGGUGAUUUAUGGUCUUUUGGGCCAAAUACAUGUUUGCUAGAUCAAAACUACGUUUGAAGAGUUAAGAUAAUUUUUGUAAUUUCCUGUUUCUCUUUGUUUUGAAGCUACGACUUGGUAAGAGUUUUUAAACACCCAAACAAGUUGUAUUCAGACUAUCAUGUCAUAUUAUCAAAUAUAAUUUGAUAGAGUUUGUUAAUGUUAAGAGGGAGAGAUCGAGAGAUCAGAAUUUCAAGAACUAGAGAGAGAAAGGUUUUAGAGAGAGAAACUGCAGAAUUGUUAUAUUGGUUUUCUUAACCUUCAAGCUAUGCUAUUACAAUGAUGUAUUUAUAUAGAGAACACACUCUAACAAACAAACAAACUAAGGCUUACAAUCUUGUGACAAGUGGCACAAUCCUAGCCACUAUCUAUAUCCUUACAAAGUUCUCAUAUCAAAAAUACUUAAAAUAUCGUUUUUAAUAUAGUUAAAACACUAUUUUGAAGAAAAAAAAACAUUAUUUCUAGAAAUUUUAAGUAUUUUCAAAACUGUAUUUCAAGUGUUUUAAGCACAUACAACGUUUUAAGUAUUUUCAAAACGGUGUUUUGAGGAGUUUUUUUUUCUUUUCCCCUAGAAACAUCGUUCCUAGAAAAUUCUUGUUUCUAGGACUUAACCCUAGAUUAACCCUGUGUUCUUUUCUUUUGUUAUUAUUUAUUAUAUCCUCCUUUGUCACCCAAUAACUAAGAGCCUAUAGACUAUUCCAUAUGAUGCAACUUCAUUAUGCAUGUAUAUGUACUUGGAAAUUCGCUUUUAAUGAUUGGGCCACGGGUUACUCUUGGAAAUUCGCUACAUAUAUGUGAGAGAGCAUGUUAAGAGUUUGAAUUCCAUGUUUAGGAAAGAAAAGACUUUGUAUAUACUUGUAAGGAAUUUUGGAUUACUCUCCAUAUUGCUUAUUGAUGCUAAAAAACCUCAACUUCCUUUACACAAAACAUGAUUAAUUUUAAGAGCUAAGGGGCUUCUUGGAAGAUCUUACACAUGCCUAGCACCAUCCACAUUUAACUUAAAGGUCUCAUUGGUUUUAUUGCUAAAAAGGAGUUGGGGAAGUUCUCCAUGCUAAGCUUUGGGCUUUGUUUUAUGAGUUGAAGAUAGCUAAAGCUAGAAAUUUCUCUCAUCUUAUUGUGGAGGUUGAUUAUGCUUUGGUGGUCUCAUUCAUUAUUCGCCUUGCCUUAAUCAUCCUCUCUAUGGUCUUAUCUCGGAAUUAUCUCGGAAUGGAGAAGUUUGAUCAUACAUAACUGGAGCUAUAAUUUGCAGCAUGUUCAUGGAAAGCAUAGUUUUGCAGCUGAAGGGUUAGCCAAAUUAGGUUUAAAUAGCAAGAUGGAUUUUCAAGAGCUUCCUCAGUCUCCUCCUUGUUUAGUUCAAACUCUUUCCGAUGACUGCUCUGGAGUUGCUAGCUAAACUAGUUGUUCUUUAGGUGUUUAAUUUUUUUCUUCUUCCAUGUUACCCCCAAAAAAAAAAGAAAAAAAAAA
This 24382-nucleotide long non-coding RNA is filed under the name Malus domestica (apple). RNAcentral describes it as "long non-coding RNA (MDOM_LNC004871)". Lineage: Eukaryota; Viridiplantae; Streptophyta; Magnoliopsida; Rosales; Rosaceae. The record is from RNAcentral.